RNAcentral lists this small RNA (30 nucleotides) under Bombyx mori (domestic silkworm). RNAcentral describes it as "ovarian small RNA-23898". The record is from RNAcentral. Lineage: Eukaryota; Metazoa; Arthropoda; Insecta; Lepidoptera; Bombycidae.
UAUGAUAAGUUUAGGUCGCUUUUGCGCGGA